CUGGCGGCGUGCCUAAUACAUGCAAGUCGAACGGUCUUUCUAUGGAAGCUUGCUUCCACUGAGAAGAUAGUGGCGAACGGGUGAGUAACACGUGGGUAACCUGCCCAUAAGAGGGGGGAUAACAUCCGGAAACGGGUGCUAAUACCGCAUAGUUUUCUUGAUCGCAUGAUUGAGAAAGGAAAGACGGCCUUUGUGCUGUCGCUUAUGGAUGGACCCGCGGCGUAUUAGUUAGUUGGUGAGGUAACGGCUCACCAAGACGAUGAUACGUAGCCGACCUGAGAGGGUGAUCGGCCACAUUGGGACUGAGACACGGCCCAAACUCCUACGGGAGGCAGCAGUAGGGAAUCUUCCGCAAUGGACGAAAGUCUGACGGAGCAACGCCGCGUGAGUGAAAGAAGGUUUUCGGAUCGUAAAACUCUGUUGUCAGAGAAGAACAAGUUGGAGAGUAACUGCUCCAGCCUUGACGGUAUCUGACCAGAAAGCCACGGCUAACUACGUGCCAGCCGCCGC
This 510-nucleotide ribosomal RNA is filed under the name uncultured bacterium. RNAcentral's name for it is "bacterial SSU rRNA". It matches the Rfam family "Bacterial small subunit ribosomal RNA", at positions 36 to 518 of the family's 1533-position model. The record is from RNAcentral.